This 394-nucleotide ribosomal RNA is filed under the name uncultured bacterium. Its description in RNAcentral is "bacterial SSU rRNA". It matches the Rfam family "Bacterial small subunit ribosomal RNA", at positions 971 to 1422 of the family's 1533-position model. The record is from RNAcentral.
UUACCGGCUUNAAUGGCAGGAAACUCCUUCGGGCCAAGGUGCUGCAUGGUUGUCGUCAGCUCGUGCCGUGAGGUGUCGGGUUAAGUCCCAUAACGAGCGCAACCCUAUCUUAGUUGCNAGCGACCGGGACUCUAAGAAACUGCCGGUGUAACCGGAGGAAGGUGGGGAUGACGUCAAAUCAGCACGGCCCUUAUGCCGGGCUACACACGUGUUACAAUGGAGUACAUGGGGCAGGGCGACCGAUGCAAUCUCCAAACUGUCUCAGUUCGGAUCGGAGUCUGCAACUCGACUCCGUGAAGUUGGAUUCGCUAGUAAUCGUAAUCAGCAUGUACGGUGAAUACGUUCCCGGGCCUUGUACACACCGCCCGUCAAACCAUGGAAGCUGGGGGCCGAG